RNAcentral lists this ribosomal RNA (488 nucleotides) under uncultured bacterium. RNAcentral's name for it is "partial 16S ribosomal RNA". It matches the Rfam family "Bacterial small subunit ribosomal RNA", at positions 28 to 507 of the family's 1533-position model. The record is from RNAcentral.
GACGAACGCUGGCGGCGUGCUUAACACAUGCAAGUCGAACGCGCCUGUCCUCUGGGUUUCUGGGGGGUGGGUGAGUGGCGAACGGGUGAGUAACACGUGAGUAACCUGCCCCCUUCUUCGGGAUAACGGUCUGAAAGGGCUGCUAAUACCGGGUAUUCACUGGUCUCCGCAUGGGGUCUGGUGGAAAGGUUUUUUUCUGGUGGGGGAUGGGCUCGCGGCCUAUCAGCUUGUUGGUGGGGUGAUGGCCCACCAAGGCUUUGACGGGUAGCCGGCCUGAGAGGGUGACCGGUCACAUUGGGACUGAGAUACGGCCCAGACUCCUACGGGAGGCAGCGGUGGGGAAUAUUGCACAAUGGGCGCAAGCCUGAUGCAGCGACGCCGCGUGAGGGAUGGAGGCCUUCGGGUUGUGAACCUCUUUCGCCCGUGGUCAAGCCGCGACGUGGGUCGUGGUGAGGGUAGUGGGUAAAGAAGCGCCGGCUAACUACGUG